Molecule: ribosomal RNA, 253 nt
Filed under: uncultured bacterium
Lineage: Bacteria
Description: partial 16S ribosomal RNA
Rfam family: Bacterial small subunit ribosomal RNA
Source: RNAcentral
UACGAGGGGUGCAAGCGUUGCUCGGAAUUAUUGGGCGUAAAGGGUAGGUAGGUGGUCUUAUUUGUCUGGGGUGAAAGCCUUGAGCUUAACUCAAGAAGUGCCCCAGAAACGGUAAGACUGGAGUCCUGGAGAGGGUCGUGGAAUUCCCGGUGUAGCGGUGAAAUGCGCAGAUAUCAGGAGGAACACCGGUGGCGAAGGCGGGUCUCUGGGCCGAUACUGACGCUGAGGAGCGAAAGCGUGGGGAGCGAACAGG